GACGAACGCUGGCGGCGUGCUUAACACAUGCAAGUCGAACGGAAAGGCCCUGCUUUUGUGGGGUGCUCGAGUGGCGAACGGGUGAGUAACACGAGAGUAACCUGCCCUUGACUUUGGGAUAACUUCAGGAAACUGGGGCUAAUACCGGAUAGGAGCUCCUGCUGCAUGGUGGGGGUUGGAAAGUUUCGGCGGGUGGGGAUGGACGCGCGGCUUAUCAGCUUGUUGGUGGGGUAGUGGCUUACCAAGGCUUUGACGGGUAGCCGGCCUGGGAGGGUGACCGGCCACAUUGGGACUGAGAUACGGCCCAGACUCCUACGGGAGGCAGCAGUGGGGAAUAUUGCACAGUGGGCGGAAGCCUGAUGCAGCAACGCCGCGUGCGGGAUGACGGCCUUCGGGUUGUAAACCGCUUUCGCCUGUGACGAAGCGUGAGUGACGGUAAUGGGUAAAGAAGCACCGGCUAACUACGUG
RNAcentral lists this ribosomal RNA (468 nucleotides) under uncultured bacterium. RNAcentral describes it as "partial 16S ribosomal RNA". It matches the Rfam family "Bacterial small subunit ribosomal RNA", at positions 28 to 507 of the family's 1533-position model. The record is from RNAcentral.